CCUACGGGAGGCAGCAGUGGGGAAUUGUUCGCAAUGGGCGCAAGCCUGACGACGCAAUGCCGCGUGGAGGAUGAAGGUCUUCGGAUUGUAAACUCCUGUUGCCAGGGACGAAUGGCUUCGACCUAAUACGUCGGAGUAUGACGGUACCUGGUGAGGAAGCCCCGGCUAACUCUGUGCCAGCAGCCGCGGUAAUACAGAGGGGGCAAGCGUUGUUCGGAAUUACUGGGCGUAAAGGGCGCGUAGGCGGCCCCUUAAGUCGAACGUGAAAUCCCCGGGCUCAACCCGGGAACUGCGUCCGAUACUGGGGGGCUUGAAUCCGGGAGAGGGAUGUGGAAUUCCAGGUGUAGCGGUGAAAUGCGUAGAUAUCUGGAGGAACACCGGUGGCGAAGGCGGCAUCCUGGACCGGUAUUGACGCUGAGGCGCGAAAGCCAGGGGAGCAA
Molecule: ribosomal RNA, 440 nt
Filed under: uncultured bacterium
Lineage: Bacteria
Description: bacterial SSU rRNA
Rfam family: Bacterial small subunit ribosomal RNA
Source: RNAcentral